UUUCUUAUUCAUUUUUCAUUCUUACUAUAAAGGUGAUGUACAUAGGGGUUACAGUUUCAAAUUGGUUUCUGUAAAGAUCACAUUGGGCCUAGAAGUGUAGCUUGCAUUCAUGAAACCUGGGGUUUUAUUUUUUGUGUUGGUUGUAGGGCUUGAACUUGGGAGUCUAGGUGUUGUCCUGGAAUUCUUUUUGCUCAAGGCUGGCACUCUACCACUUGAGCCACAGCGCCACUUCUGG
Molecule: long non-coding RNA, 235 nt
Organism: Perognathus longimembris pacificus (Pacific pocket mouse)
Lineage: Eukaryota; Metazoa; Chordata; Mammalia; Rodentia; Heteromyidae
Exons: 3
Source: RefSeq, a predicted model, not a curated record